This 274-nucleotide ribosomal RNA is filed under the name uncultured bacterium. RNAcentral's name for it is "partial 16S ribosomal RNA". It matches the Rfam family "Bacterial small subunit ribosomal RNA", at positions 523 to 796 of the family's 1533-position model. The record is from RNAcentral.
CGACGUAGGACGCGAGCGUUAUCCGGAUUUACUGGGCGUAAAGCGUCUGUAGGCGGUUGGGCAAGUUGGGCGUGAAAUCUCCGGGCUCAACCCGGAGGGGGCGUUCAAUACUGCCGGACUAGAGGGCAUCAGAGGGGCGUGGAAUUUCCGGAGUAGCGGUAAAAUGCGCAGAUAUCGGAAGGAACACCAGUGGCGAAGGCGGCGCUCUGGGGUGCACCUGACGCUGAGAGACGAAAGCUAGGGGAGCGAACAGGAUUAGAAACCCUAGUAGUCC